Ruditapes philippinarum (Manila clam) is the source of this 1501-nucleotide long non-coding RNA. RefSeq lists it as uncharacterized. The transcript is spliced from 3 exons. The record is from RefSeq and is a predicted model, not a curated record. Lineage: Eukaryota; Metazoa; Mollusca; Bivalvia; Venerida; Veneridae.
CAAAAAAAAAAAGUUACUUGUUUCCACUACCCCGACCGACCCUAUUUUUUUGCCGCCGACCCUACAUUUUUUUUGGACAAAAAAAAAUUGUCGAUAGUCACUUUCUCUUUCCGAGUAUUACCAUUCCUUUCCUCUUAUUAACUAUCUUUGCGCGCUUUAAUAUUACUAUCGGCGAGACGCUUUACCAGUAGAGUAAAGCGUUUAUCGAUAUGAAACAUGGCUACGAGUAUUUUGAACAUUACAAUUGCAAAAUGUAAACAUUUCGCAGGGGUUAGAAAGAUAUGUACAUUUCCGAACAAUGCCUUGAUAUCUGAUAUUUUCUUUGAAUUACAUGGAUCAGUCAACAGUGCCGAUUUAAAAAAUAAAAUAGACAAUUUAAGUUUGUCGGUAGUCGGUUCAACAUCCCCUUCGUGUAUAGAUUUCAAAGAUUUACCGGAGGUCGACAGUUGUGCAGUUUGGAUUAAGAUCUCUUUUUCUCAGAUGCAAAGAAGAGCCAACUCUCCUAGAAAGUGUUGCCAUCGCAGCAGAAGCAGCAACACACAAGGCAGCAAAUGCAUUUGAACUGCUGAUGGGAAAAGGGAGAGUGUUUCCUUAUAAAAAAUCUACAAGUUCUGGGGUAAAAUCUGGCACUGUGAAUGCAAAAGAUGUUUUGUACAACAAACUGGUAGACUUGUUUGUGACAAUGUGACCAAUCAAGAUGAUAACAUGGAUGUUGAACAGAGUGUUUCUGAUGUGACUGAAUCUGAAGCACCAUUUCCACUUACAGCCCAGACAGCACGAGGGAUAGUUAAUUGUGUGGAGUGGUGAAAAACCUAGAGUUUAUUAUUGUAAAACCAAAUUGUCUAGUCGUCAAAAUUUAGUUCUGAUAACAGCUAUUUCUGAAAAUGAUUACACAUGUGGAUCUCCUCUUUCUGGACAUGAACUGCUGAAAAAUGUUUAUAUUAAGACUGCUGUUAAUUGUGGCAGUCAAGUGGAGUUUCCAUACUAUAGCAGUGACUAUAGGUUUAAUGUGUGCGCAUACUGUGGAGAUAGUGAUGCAUCUGUUGAUACAGAACUGAAAAAACAUUAUAGAACAGUCCUUCCCAUUUGUGCCAAUUGUAAAAAUGGUGGAAAAGUGUCUGUGACAAAGAGACCUUAUGGAAAAGAGUAGUGACUGUUUUUUUAUUAUAAAAAUUGAGGGACAGUGGUUGGACGAAAAAAAUCAUAACAUGCACAAUUAUUAAAUGUUUAUUCUGGAACAAUAUAAAUGCAAAAAUAAACAUAUAUAUAUAUGUAUGUAAUAAAUUUUAUAUUGAAAAGUAUUUUUUUUUUUCAACAGCAUGCCACAGUAUCUUGACACUAAACAGCUAAAUACCAAACACUCUAGCAUUUUACUGCAGUCUAAACUUACUUCUAAGUGUCAUUUAUUAUAUCAUUUCUUUACUUACAUAUUCAUGAAGUCAAGUUUCACAAAAAAAAAAAAAAAAAAAAAAAAAAAAUUUCCUACCUACCGACCCUAUUU